GAGGAAGAAAGAGUCAGUGCUCUGAGGAGCUGGCCAUGAGGAACACUAAAAAGGUGUGGCACUUUUGUCAUAAGGAGACAACAGUAUGGAACCCCUGUAAUAAGAUGCUGCUGUGGUGUGGACCAUGGAAGUUCACUUUGAGCUGCUCAAUAGUGGAAGCUCCUGGCAAAGUGAAGCAGCUUUGGUGAGCUGGGAUUGAUGACCAGGAGUGCUCCAGCCUGGCCAGGCUGCCUUGCUGGUCUUCAGAUCUCUCUGGAAGCUUCAGACCAAACUGGACGUCCACCCAAACUCCAGAGAAAUCUCUUGCCCCUUGGUGCUCAUGGCUGGCUGGGAUUUCUGCCCAUACCUCAGCUUUGUGGGUAAAUGGCAAUGAAAGGUGGAUAUCUAACACCAGG
Long non-coding RNA from Zonotrichia leucophrys gambelii, 395 nucleotides. RefSeq lists it as uncharacterized. The transcript is spliced from 3 exons. NCBI's taxonomy places the organism in Eukaryota, Metazoa, Chordata, Aves, Passeriformes, Passerellidae. The record is from RefSeq and is a predicted model, not a curated record.